AACGAACGCUGGCGGCAUGCCUAACACAUGCAAGUCGAACGAGACCUUCGGGUCUAGUGGCGCACGGGUGCGUAACGCGUGGGAACCUGCCCUUAGGUUCGGAAUAACUCCCCGAAAGGGGUGCUAAUACCGGAUAAUGUCUUCGGACCAAAGAUUUAUCGCCUUUGGAUGGGCCCGCGUUGGAUUAGCUAGUUGGUAGGGUAAAAGCCUACCAAGGCGACGAUCCAUAGCUGGUCUGAGAGGAUGAUCAGCCACACUGGGACUGAGACACGGCCCAGACUCGUACGGGAGGCAGCAGUGGGGAAUAUUGGAGGAUGGGCGAAAGCCUGAUCCAGCAAUGCCGCGUGAGUGAUGAAGGCCUUAGGGUUGUAAAGCUCUUUUACCCGGGAUGAUAAUGACAGUACCGGGAGAAUAAGCGCCGGCUAACUCCGUG
Molecule: ribosomal RNA, 433 nt
Filed under: uncultured bacterium
Lineage: Bacteria
Description: partial 16S ribosomal RNA
Rfam family: Bacterial small subunit ribosomal RNA
Source: RNAcentral